AGUGAACGCUGGCGGUAGGCCUAACACAUGCAAGUCGAACGGCAGCACAGUAAGAGCUUGCUCUUACGGGUGGCGAGUGGCGGACGGGUGAGGAAUACAUCGGAAUCUACUUUUUCGUGGGGGAUAACGUAGGGAAACUUACGCUAAUACCGCAUACGACCUACGGGUGAAAGCAGGGGAUCUUCGGACCUUGCGCGAUUGAAUGAGCCGAUGUCGGAUUAGCUAGUUGGCGGGGUAAAGGCCCACCAAGGCGACGAUCCGUAGCUGGUCUGAGAGGAUGAUCAGCCACACUGGAGCUGAGACACGGACCAGACUCCUACGGGAGGCAGCAGUGGGGAAUAUUGGACAAUGGGCGCAAGCCUGAUCCAGCCAUACCGCGUGGGUGAAGAAGGCCUUCGGGUUGUAAAGCCCUUUUGUUGGGAAAGAAAAGCAGCAGGUUAAUACCCCGCUGUUCCGACGGUACCCAAAGAAUAAGCACCGGCUAACUUCGUG
Molecule: ribosomal RNA, 492 nt
Filed under: uncultured bacterium
Lineage: Bacteria
Description: partial 16S ribosomal RNA
Rfam family: Bacterial small subunit ribosomal RNA
Source: RNAcentral